UGGCUCAGGACGAACGCUGGCGGCGUGCCUAAUACAUGCAAGUCGAGCGGACAGAAGGGAGCUUGCUCCCGGAUGUUAGCGGCGGACGGGUGAGUAACACGUGGGUAACCUGCCUGUAAGACUGGGAAACUCCGGGAAACCGGAGCUAAUACCGGAUAGUUCCUUGAACCGCAUGGUUCAAGGAUGAAAGACGGUUUCGGCUGUCACUUACAGAUGGACCCGCGGCGCAUUAGCUAGUUGGUGGGGUAAUGGCUACCAAGGCGACGAUGCGUAGCCGACCUGAGAGGGUGAUCGGCCACACUGGGACUGAGACACGGCCCAGACUCCUACGGGAGGCAGCAGUAGGGAAUCUUCCGCAAUGGACGAAAGUCUGACGGAGCACGCCGCGUGAGUGAUGAAGGUUUUCGGAUCGUAAAGCUCUGUUGUUAGGGAAGAACAAGUGCGAGAGUAACUGCUCGCACCUUGACGGUACCUAACCAGAAAGCCACGGCUAACUACGUGCCAGCAGCGCGGUAAUACGUAGGUGGCAAGCGUUGUCCGGAAUUAUUGGGCGUAAAGGGCUCGCAGGCGGUUUCUUAAGUCUGAUGUGAAAGCCCCCGGCUCAACCGGGGAGGGUCAUUGGAAACUGGGAAACUGAGUGCAGAAGAGGAGAGUGGAAUUCCACGUGUAGCGGUGAAAUGCGUAGAGAUGUGGAGGAACACCAGUGGCGAAGGCGACUCUCUGGUCUGUAACUGACGCUGAGGAGCGAAAGCGUGGGGAGCGACAGGAUUAGAUACCCUGGUAGUCCACGCCGUAAACGAUGAGUGCUAAGUGUUAGGGGGUUUCCGCCCCUUAGUGCUGCAGCUAACGCAUUAAGCACUCCGCCUGGGGAGUACGGUCGCAAGACUGAACUCAAAGGAAUUGACGGGGGCCCGCACAAGCGGUGGAGCAUGUGGUUUAAUUCGAAGCAACGCGAAGAACCUUACCAGGUCUUGACAUCCUCUGACAACCCUAGAGAUAGGCUUUCCCUUCGGGGAAGAGUGACAGGUGGUGCAUGGUUGUCGUCAGCUCGUGUCGUGAGAUGUUGGGUUAAGUCCCGCAACGAGCGCAACCCUUGAUCUUAGUUGCCAGCAUUCAGUUGGGCACUCUAAGGUGACUGCCGGUACAAACCGGAGGAAGGUGGGGAUGACGUCAA
Molecule: ribosomal RNA, 1174 nt
Filed under: Bacillus safensis
Lineage: Bacteria; Bacillati; Bacillota; Bacilli; Caryophanales; Bacillaceae
Description: bacterial SSU rRNA
Rfam family: Bacterial small subunit ribosomal RNA
Source: RNAcentral